RNAcentral lists this ribosomal RNA (447 nucleotides) under uncultured bacterium. Its description in RNAcentral is "bacterial SSU rRNA". It matches the Rfam family "Bacterial small subunit ribosomal RNA", at positions 355 to 825 of the family's 1533-position model. The record is from RNAcentral.
UGGGGAAUAUUGGACAAUGGGCGAAAGCCUGAUCCAGCCAUGCCGCGUGGAUGAUGAAGGCCUUAGGGUUGUAAAGUCCUUUCGGCGGGGAAGAUAAUGACGGUACCCGCAGAAGAAGCCCCGGCUAACUUCGUGCCAGCAGCCGCGGUAAUACGAAGGGGGCUAGCGUUGCUCGGAAUCACUGGGCGUAAAGCGCACGUAGGCGGCUUCUUAAGUCAGGGGUGAAAUCCUGGAGCUCAACUCCAGAACUGCCUCUGAUACUGAGGAGCUUGAGUCCGGGAGAGGUGAGUGGAACUCCGAGUGUAGAGGUGAAAUUCGUAGAUAUUCGGAAGAACACCAGUGGCGAAGGCGGCUCACUGGCCCGGUACUGACGCUGAGGUGCGAAAGCGUGGGGAGCAAACAGGAUUAGAUACCCAAGUAGUCCCUGAGCGGGCUGGCAAGGCGCAU